Molecule: transfer RNA, 69 nt
Filed under: Rattus norvegicus (Norway rat)
Lineage: Eukaryota; Metazoa; Chordata; Mammalia; Rodentia; Muridae
Rfam family: tRNA
About the family: Transfer RNA (tRNA) molecules are approximately 80 nucleotides in length. Their secondary structure includes four short double-helical elements and three loops (D, anti-codon, and T loops).
Source: Rfam by way of RNAcentral
GGGGGUUUAGCUCAGUGGUAGAGUGCUUGCCUAGCAAGCACAAGGCCCUGGGUUCAGUCCCCAGCUCCG